AAUCACAGGCGAUUCAGCAGGUGAUUUCACUGAAGGCGUUGUUUGAGACGACGCCGGAAUCCGACACCGGUCAGCGGAAAAAGCGUCACAUUCCUCGCCCGGACACUAGUUUACAGCGAGUCCAGAAAGAAACGAGUAUCGAUGCAGAAUUUGCUGAAUCGGCUGAAGAAACGGUGCCGUACGGUAGAAAACCUCCCAAUAAACCUGAUCUUUCCGGCGACAAAGCUGCAAGUGCUGUUGCCGUUGUCAAUAACUUAGCUCCUUCUAGAACCACAGAUUCAGGAAAUGCAUCAUCAGGUCAAUUGACAAUCUUCUAUUGUGGCAAGGUGAAUGUGUA
RNAcentral lists this unclassified non-coding RNA (337 nucleotides) under Hevea brasiliensis (rubber tree). The record is from RNAcentral. Lineage: Eukaryota; Viridiplantae; Streptophyta; Magnoliopsida; Malpighiales; Euphorbiaceae.